ACUCCUACGGGAGGCAGCAGUGGGGGAAUAUUGCACAAUGGGCGCAAGCCUGAUGCAGCCAUGCCGCGUGUGUGAAGAAGGCCUUCGGGUUGUAAAGCACUUUCAGUCGUGAGGAAGGUAGUGUAGUUAAUAGCGCACUUUUACUUGGUUAGCGUUAGCGACAGAAGAAGCACCGGCUAACUCCGUGCCAGCAGCCGCGGUAAUACGGAGGGUGCGAGC
RNAcentral lists this ribosomal RNA (219 nucleotides) under uncultured bacterium. RNAcentral's name for it is "partial 16S ribosomal RNA". It matches the Rfam family "Bacterial small subunit ribosomal RNA", at positions 335 to 539 of the family's 1533-position model. The record is from RNAcentral.